CAAGUCAGUAUGGACCACGUACGCUGGGCUACACAUGUGUUCCAGCGGUGAAGGCAAAAAAGAUGCGUCAGCGAUGACGCCAAUCUAAACCUCACCAUGUUCGGAUUAGUGGCUGCAACUUGCCACUAUGAAGGCGAAAUCGCCAGUAAUCGCAAAUCAGCACGUUGCGGUGAACCUUAAAUUGGGCUGUGCACACACUGCCCAUCAUGAUAGGGGA
This 217-nucleotide ribosomal RNA is filed under the name Ctenophora environmental sample. RNAcentral's name for it is "partial Bacterial small subunit ribosomal RNA". It matches the Rfam family "Bacterial small subunit ribosomal RNA", at positions 1186 to 1409 of the family's 1533-position model. Lineage: Eukaryota; Metazoa; Ctenophora. The record is from RNAcentral.